AUGCAACCUGCGGCGCUGGUCUACCAAGCCGGGCGGCCUCGCAGACGCAGACGCGGCUCUGGCCGAUCACAGCGCAUCGGCACCGGCCGGGCGGGCUCCCCCGGCUCUCUUUGUGCUUCUCUCGGCCUCGGGGCUCAGCCCGUACCGGGGGGACGCGGGGAGCCCGGAGGAUCGAAGGCAGCUUGGAGCCCGCCCGGUCGCGGCGUGGCCGCCCCGGCACCCCGAGCAGCUCUCGCCGGCAGCUCCAGAGAGCUCCCCAGAGCCUGCAGAGCCCCGGCGGCUGUGGGGGUUCUGCCCAAUGCACGCCGCCGCCCUGCAGCCACCUUGUCCCUGCUGCCCUGGAACCGUCUGUCUGGCACCUCGGAGCCGCCGUUACCGCCUCCAGUCAAUCCCAGACCCCCGCGGCUGCCGCUUCGUAGAGCAGUUCGACCCCGUGCUCCUUGCCUCCCUCUGUCUCCUUUUCCUUCUUUCCCUCCCAUUCUGUUCUUCUGUUGUCCCACGGUGUUCGGCCCUGUUCCCUUUCUCUGUCUGCGACCCUGCCCUGUCUCUGCCCUUGUCCUGCCUUGUUGCUCUUUCUGUCUUUCUCCCCAACCUGCCUCUGUUUCAGUUUUUGUCCUGUUUUUCUUCUUCCUCUUCCCUUCCCCUGUACGGUUCUCUCCCUCCCCCGAUUCCACACCCGUCUCCCCGUACCCUCACUAUCCCCCACCGUCGCUCGGACACGGAGCUGUCCGUUCAGCACCACCGCACGUCCGCCACCCCCCUCCACCCCCUCCCAGAGGCUGUGAGGGGGGACAAGCUGUGCUCGGGGCCUUGAGGUGCCGCCGUCCCACGAGACACGUCCUGCUCGAACCAGCAUCUGAAGCAAGGGGAAAUCGGGGAACAGUCUCUGCCAGGGUGCUUAGUACCGCCCUGUACAACAGCAGGUGUAUAGGAGAGGAUUUGGUACGAGCAGCGGUUCUUGGGCAGCAUGGCAGGCUGGUAGAAACUGUGCUGACAUGUAUUCCCCUCCGACAGCUGCACGACCUCAGCCCCACUGCCCACCUACACAGCCCUCACACUGUCUGCACAGGCGCUGUGCACAGCCUCUCAUUCUCCCACACACCUACAUGCUGCACCCACUCAGCUCUGAUGAGAAGCGUCCCUUCUCCCUCCACAGACAAACCACCCAUGGCAGAGAAAGGGGAAAGAAGAGGACUGCUGGGCUGUAGGCAGCUUUCCUGGGUCAGGAUUCACAGAAAGAUGACUUUAGCCUAA
RNAcentral lists this long non-coding RNA (1254 nucleotides) under Coturnix japonica (Japanese quail). RNAcentral describes it as "lncRNA (ENSCJPG00005019280.1)". Lineage: Eukaryota; Metazoa; Chordata; Aves; Galliformes; Phasianidae. The record is from RNAcentral.